Cinara cedri is the source of this 209-nucleotide non-coding RNA. The record is from the annotation of a GenBank genome assembly. NCBI's taxonomy places the organism in Eukaryota, Metazoa, Arthropoda, Insecta, Hemiptera, Aphididae.
AUUUUAUCGUCAUUUUAUUUAUAUAUUUUGAAAAAUUAUUACUUUUAUUAAUCGCGCGAUAUUGAUUUAUAUAUAUAUAUAUAUUAUUAUUUUUUUUUUUUUGUUCUAGACAAAUAUAAGAAGAACAUCGAUCGCAUGCAACGCCGAAAACCAAAAGUAUAUUCUGACCUAUAUACAUAUUUACGGCGAAAAAAUAUUUUUUAUUUCGU